GAUGAACGCUAGCUACAGGCUUAACACAUGCAAGUCGAGGGGAAACGACAUCGAAAGCUUGCUUUUGAUGGGCGUCGACCGGCGCACGGGUGAGUAACGCGUAUCCAACCUGCCCACCACUUGGGGAUAACCUUGCGAAAGUAAGACUAAUACCCAAUGAUAUCCCACGAAGGCAUCCGAAUGGGAUUAAAGAUUUAUCGGUGAUGGAUGGGGAUGCGUCUGAUUAGCUUGUUGGCGGGGUAACGGCCCACCAAGGCAACGAUCAGUAGGGGUUCUGAGAGGAAGGUCCCCCCACAUUGGAACUGAGACACGGUCCAAACUCCUACGGGAGGCAGCAGUGAGGAAUAUUGGUCAAUGGGCGAGAGCCUGAACCAGCCAAGUAGCGUGCAGGAUGACGGCCCUAUGGGUUGUAAACUGCUUUUGUUUGGGAGCAAAGUGGCCACGCGUGGUCUUUUGCAUGUACCGUAUGAAUAAGGACCGGCUAAUUCCGUGCCAGCAGCCGC
This 503-nucleotide ribosomal RNA is filed under the name uncultured bacterium. RNAcentral describes it as "bacterial SSU rRNA". It matches the Rfam family "Bacterial small subunit ribosomal RNA", at positions 28 to 518 of the family's 1533-position model. The record is from RNAcentral.